CUCAAAGAGGAGGCCCAGAAACGCCGUGAGCGCAUCGAUGAGAUCAAGAGGAAAAAGCUUGAAGAGCUGAGUUCCUUAGUUACCAGGACAAGAGGAUCAACCAUGGCAGCCUUCCCCAUCUGCAGCAGAGGGUCCGCUUUGCAGCCUCAGACCCAAGCCAGUACGAUGCCUCCAUCAACCUCAUGAACCUGCAGGUAUCUGAUACAGCCACUUAUGAGUGCCGGGUGAAGAAGACCACCAUGGCCACCCGGAAGGUCAUUGUCACUGUCCAAGGUAUGGCCAGACUCCUCUAAGCUCCUCUCCCCCUGGCUUAAGAGCCAAGGGCAGCUUGGCCACUUUGAGCCUGGCUCUGUCUCUUGGCUGGGCCCUGGCUUACAAUUGUCUGCCUCCUUGCAGCACGACCUGCAGUGCCCAUGUGCUGGACAGAGGGC
RNAcentral lists this long non-coding RNA (431 nucleotides) under Homo sapiens (human). RNAcentral describes it as "non-protein coding lnc-VSIG8-1:1". Lineage: Eukaryota; Metazoa; Chordata; Mammalia; Primates; Hominidae. The record is from RNAcentral.